RNAcentral lists this transfer RNA (72 nucleotides) under Bos taurus (domestic cattle). It matches the Rfam family "tRNA". From Rfam's summary of the family: Transfer RNA (tRNA) molecules are approximately 80 nucleotides in length. Their secondary structure includes four short double-helical elements and three loops (D, anti-codon, and T loops). RNAcentral also lists the same sequence under 5 other names. The record is from Rfam by way of RNAcentral. Lineage: Eukaryota; Metazoa; Chordata; Mammalia; Artiodactyla; Bovidae.
UCCCUAGUGGCUCGAUGGUAAAGAAUCUACCUGCAAUGCAGGAGACCCCAGGUUCAAUCCCUGGGUCGGGAA